RNAcentral lists this ribosomal RNA (484 nucleotides) under uncultured bacterium. RNAcentral describes it as "partial 16S ribosomal RNA". It matches the Rfam family "Bacterial small subunit ribosomal RNA", at positions 30 to 507 of the family's 1533-position model. The record is from RNAcentral.
AUUGAACGCUGGCGGCAGGCCUAACACAUGCAAGUCGAGCGGAUGAAGGGAGCUUGCUCCUGGAUUCAGCGGCGGACGGGUGAGUAAUGCCUAGGAAUCUGCCUGGUAGUGGGGGAUAACGUCCGGAAACGGGCGCUAAUACCGCAUACGUCCUGAGGGAGAAAGUGGGGGAUCUUCGGACCUCACGCUAUCAGAUGAGCCUAGGUCGGAUUAGCUAGUUGGUGGGGUAAAGGUCUACCAAGGCGACGAUCCGUAACUGGUCUGAGAGGAUGAUCAGUCACACUGGGACCUGAAAACCGUCCCAGAUCCUAACGGGGGCAAGCGGUGGGAAAUAUGGGCAAUGGGGCGAAACCCUAUUCAAGCCAGGCCGGGUGUGUGAAGAAGGUCUUCGAAUGUUAAAGCCCUUUAGGUGGGAGGAAGGGCAGUAAGUUAAUACCUUGCUGUUUUGACGUUACCAACAGAAUAAGCACCGGCUAACUUCGUG